AAAUCCCUGCCGUGCCCGUGUUGGUCGGCGUGUUUUGAGCCAACAAAACACAUAACGGGAGUUCGAUUCGGGUGUGGACGUAAACCCGCAAGGGCAACGGAAAAUACCUGAUAGAACACCCCUCUGAACCAAACGGUUCAGAAGGCGCCUGCCAUACGACAAUGGCGGGGAUUUU
RNAcentral lists this non-coding RNA (175 nucleotides) under Candidatus Omnitrophota bacterium. Its description in RNAcentral is "Candidatus Omnitrophica bacterium 6S RNA". It matches the Rfam family "6S / SsrS RNA". Rfam says of the family: E. coli 6S RNA was the first non coding RNA to be sequenced, but its function was unknown until recently. It consists of 184 nucleotides that fold into an extended hairpin structure with a large single-stranded internal bulge. Lineage: Bacteria; Pseudomonadati; Candidatus Omnitrophota. The record is from RNAcentral.